Molecule: ribosomal RNA, 379 nt
Filed under: uncultured rhodophyte
Lineage: Eukaryota; Rhodophyta
Description: bacterial SSU rRNA
Rfam family: Bacterial small subunit ribosomal RNA
Source: RNAcentral
GAAUUUUCCGCAAUGGGCGAAAGCCUGACGGAGCAAUACCGCGUGAGGGAAGAAUGCCUGUGGGUUGUAAACCUCUUUUCUUAGGGAAGAAAUCUGACGGUACUUAAGGAAUAAGCAUCGGCUAACUCCGUGCCAGCAGCCGCGGUAAUACGGGGGAUGCAAGCGUUAUCCGGAAUCACUGGGCGUAAAGCGUCUGUAGGUGGCUUGGCAAGUCUGCUGUUAAAUAUUGGGGCUUAACCCUAAACAAGCAGUGGAAACUUCUAAACUAGAGUAUGGCAUGGGUAGAGGGAAUUCCCAGUGUAGCGGUGAAAUGCGUAGAUAUUGGGAAGAACACCAGCAGCGAAGGCGCUCUACUGACUAUUACUGACACUCAGAGACG